UGCAGUCGAGCGGACUGAUGGGGAGCUUGCUCCCCUGACGUCAGCGGCGGACGGGUGAGUAACACGUGGGCAACCUGCCUCACAGAUUGGGAUAACUCCGGGAAACCGGGGCUAAUACCGAAUAAUCAAAGGAACCGCAUGGUUCCCUUGUAAAAGUUGGGUUUUACCUAACACUGUGAGAUGGGCCCGCGGCGCAUUAGCUAGUUGGUGAGGUAGUGGCUCACCAAGGCGACGAUGCGUAGCCGACCUGAGAGGGUGAUCGGCCACACUGGGACUGAGACACGGCCCAGACUCCUACGGGAGGCAGCAGUAGGGAAUCAUCCGCAAUGGACGAAAGUCUGACGGUGCAACGCCGCGUGAGUGAUGACGGUCUUCGGAUUGUAAAGCUCUGUUGUUAGGGAAGAACAAGUGCCGUUCAAAUAGGGCGGCACCUUGACGGUACCUAACCAGAAAGCCCCGGCUAACUACGUGCCAGCAGCCGCGGUAAUACGUAGGGGGCAAGCGUUGUCCGGAAUUAUUGGGCGUAAAGCGCGCGCAGGCGGUUCCUUAAGUCUGAUGUGAAAGCCCACGGCUCAACCGUGGAGGGUCAUUGGAAACUGGGGAACUUGAGUGUAGGAGAGGAAAGUGGAAUUCCAAGUGUAGCGGUGAAAUGCGUAGAUAUUUGGAGGAACACCAGUGGCGAAGGCGACUUUCUGGCCUACAACUGACGCUGAGGCGCGAAAGCGUGGGGAGCAAACAGGAUUAGAUACCCUGGUAGUCCACGCCGUAAACGAUGAGUGCUAGGUGUUAGGGGUUUCGAUACCCUUAGUGCCGAAGUUAACACAUUAAGCACUCCGCCUGGGGGAGUACGGUCGCAAGACUGAAACUCAAAAGGAAUUGACGGGGGGCCCGCACAAACAGUGGAAGCAUGGGGGUUUAAUU
This 921-nucleotide ribosomal RNA is filed under the name Alteribacter aurantiacus. Its description in RNAcentral is "bacterial SSU rRNA". It matches the Rfam family "Bacterial small subunit ribosomal RNA", at positions 56 to 951 of the family's 1533-position model. Lineage: Bacteria; Bacillati; Bacillota; Bacilli; Caryophanales; Bacillaceae. The record is from RNAcentral.